RNAcentral lists this ribosomal RNA (689 nucleotides) under uncultured bacterium. RNAcentral describes it as "bacterial SSU rRNA". It matches the Rfam family "Bacterial small subunit ribosomal RNA", at positions 8 to 687 of the family's 1533-position model. The record is from RNAcentral.
AGAGUUUGAUCAUGGCUCAGGAUGAACGCUAGCGGCAGGCCUAAUACAUGCAAGUCGAGCGGAAAGGCUCAGUUCGGUAAGUACACGACCGGCGCACGGGUGCGUAACGCGUAUGCAACCUACCUCUAACAGGGGGAUAGCCGAAAGAAAUUCCCGUUAAUAUCCCAUACAGGUCGUUACUGGCUUUGGCGUCGGUUUGGAGUUCGGGCGUUGUGGGAUGGGCCGAUGUGGCAUUAGCUAGUUGGUGAGGUAACGGCUCACCAAGGCCACGAUGCCUAGGGGUUCUGAGAGGAUGAUCCCCCACACUGGUACUGAGACACGGACCAGACUCCUACGGGAGGCAGCAGUUAGGAAUAUUGCGCAAUGGAGGAAACUCUGACGCAGCCAAGCCGCGUGCAGGAAGACGGCCUUAUGGGUUGUAAAUUGCUUUUAUAAAGGAAUAAACGGAAACUCGCGAAACGGGUUGAUGGCUGACGGUACCGUAUGAAUAAGGACCGGCUAACUGCGUGCCAGCAGCCGCGGUAAUACGUAGGGACCGAGCGUUAACCGGAUUUAUUGGGCGUAAAGCGUGCGCAGGCGGAUUGGUAAGUUAGUGGUGAAAUCCCGAGGCUCAACUUCGGAACUGCCAUUAAUACUGCCAAUCUUGAAUUCGGUUGAAGUGGGCAGAAUUUCACAUGUGGCGGUGUAAA